CACAUGCAAGUCGAGCGGAUGACAGGAGCUUGCUCCUGAAUUCAGCGGCGGACGGGUGAGUAAUGCCUAGGAAUCUGCCUGGUAGUGGGGGACAACGUUUCGAAAGGAACGCUAAUACCGCAUACGUCCUACGGGAGAAAGCAGGGGACCUUCGGGCCUUGCGCUAUCAGAUGAGCCUAGGUCGGAUUAGCUAGUUGGUGAGGUAAUGGCUCACCAAGGCGACGAUCCGUAACUGGUCUGAGAGGAUGAUCAGUCACACUGGAACUGAGACACGGUCCAGACUCCUACGGGAGGCAGCAGUGGGGAAUAUUGGACAAUGGGCGAAAGCCUGAUCCAGCCAUGCCGCGUGUGUGAAGAAGGUCUUCGGAUUGUAAAGCACUUUAAGUUGGGAGGAAGGGCAUUAACCUAAUACGUUAGUGUUUUGACGUUACCGACAGAAUAAGCACCGGCUAACUCUGUGCCAGCAGCCGCGGUAAUACAGAGGGUGCAAGCGUUAAUCGGAAUUACUGGGCGUAAAGCGCGCGUAGGUGGUUCGUUAAGUUGGAUGUGAAAGCCCCGGGCUCAACCUGGGAACUGCAUUCAAAACUGACGAGCUAGAGUAUGGUAGAGGGUGGUGGAAUUUCCUGUGUAGCGGUGAAAUGCG
This 643-nucleotide ribosomal RNA is filed under the name uncultured bacterium. Its description in RNAcentral is "bacterial SSU rRNA". It matches the Rfam family "Bacterial small subunit ribosomal RNA", at positions 52 to 690 of the family's 1533-position model. The record is from RNAcentral.